GCAGCUCGAGUUGCUGGACUGGACUGGCAGUGGCGGUAGUAGAGGAGUAGGUAUGUCGCGCGAGGUGAAUGCGCGCCCGAUCACUUCAUUCACUUGUCGGUCGCCGUCUAUCGGACAUGUUUUGCGUUCAUGUUCGCCUCCAGUUCUCGUAUACAAUUACAUUUCGUCGAUUAUUAUUUCAACGUAAACAAAAUAUAUGGCACGAUCUUUGGGGAUAUUCAGUGGUAUAAAUAUAAUUGUAUUAGCGAUCAGUGAGUUUUUGGUGCUCUCUGGUGAUUCGCGGGAAAUGUAUCGUUGCCUGACCGGCCAUUGAAAAGUGCAAACCAACUCUGCCACUGCCGCUCCCGUUCGAGCAUUUUUUUGCACGCGAAAAGGAUCUACGCUUUACAAUUUCACGGAUGAGAUGACGGUCGCCGGACAGAGAUACGUAGACUGCACAGUAUUGAAUGCAAGCAGUAUGCCAGACGCUGAAGAUUCCUCAUAUGACAGUGAUUACGAAGCUGAAGAUUUAACAACGACAACAAUGACGCCAAUGAUGACAACGACAACGAUUGCACGCAGUUCAGAAUCUCAAGUAUCUCCAGCAGCACAUACAGAGAUUUCUCGCACUGCAUCUGAUACUCUAGCAACUGAGUUUGCAGAGUAUGUCACUGUAGAGGAAUCUUCGUCUAUACAGAACCCUGGUUACACCGCUCGCGUAGAGUUUGCUCUAAAACUAGGCUAUACCGAAAAAUUGGUACAAGCAGCUUUGCAGAAAUUAGGUCCGGACCCUAGUCAAAACGAGCUAUUAGCCGAGUUAAUCAAGCUCGGAGCUGCUUGUAUCCCGAAAUUUACCGAUUGUCCCGAGGAAGCUGAUAAUUUACUAGAGACUGAAACGGAAAACGACGAAGGCGAAGGGUCGAUUUUGCCUUCAACGACGGUAAUGAAUAGAAUCUUAUCGACGGAUUUAAGAUCUAUUGUCAUCGAUGGCAGCAAUGUCGCUAUGAGUCACGGCAACAAAGAGAUAUUUUCCUGUCGUGGCAUCAAAAUCUGUGUUGACUGGUUCCGUGCUAGAGGCCACAAGGAGAUCACAGUCUUCGUUCCCAAGUGGCGGAAAGAAGCCUCUAGACUCGACAAUCCGGUUGCCGACCAGGAAAUUUUAAGCGAACUCGAGAGAGAUCGUUUACUGGUGUUCACACCCUCUAGAUUGGUAGGUGGAAAACGUAUGGUGUGUUACGAUGAUCGAUACAUCUUGAAGCUGGCCGCGGAAGUCGAUGGCAUUGUUGUCAGCAAUGAUAACUACCGGGACUUGGCACAGGAAAACCCUGAGUUUAGAAGGGUUGUCGAAGGGAGAAUCCUUAUGUACAGUUUUGUAAAUGAUCGAUUCAUGCCACCAGACGAUCCACUCGGUAGGAGUGGACCUACGCUGGAGAAUUUUCUCAGGAUCGCUCCCAAAAAGGUCGAUUCGGCACCUCCAUGUCCUUACGCCAAAAAAUGCACUUAUGGCAAUAAGUGCAAGUUCUGGCAUCCCGAAAGAGGACCACAUCCACAUAAAUCCGUGACGGAGCGAUUAGUGGAACAUGCUCAACGUCACUUACAAGCUCGUGGGCCCAGUCUAAGUCUACCACUACCGUCCAAAACCACAUCUAUAUCAUCUCCACAACAUCCAUCUCUCUGUAAAGCCAGAUCUGCUAUACCGCCGACAGUCAUUCAAUCUUUGUCGCCCGUUCCAAAGAGCAGAUCAGUGGAGAACGUCACAUCUGACUUGUUCUCAACUAGUCCGGUUUUAUACAGCCAACAGAUGCCUCUUGCACAGAAUAUUCAAACCUAUCCACCUACAGUGAAUUGGGCUACAUCAAGGGUGAGCAAUCCCGAGCCAGAACCAGCGAAUAUGCAUCGCAAAUUGCAGCGACAAUUGACCCUGAACCCAGUAUGCGACCCGCGACUUUAUCAACUCAGGCGACAUCAACAGCAGCAGCAGCAGCAGCAGCAACAACAACAGCAACAACAGCAGCAGCAAGCUGAUCAAUUGCAACAAUCAGUUAUCAGUCCUUCGCGCUCCAAUGUGCAACAUCGAUCAUUGACGAGACAUACUAGUAAUGAGCCGUCAUAUCCAAUUACUACCAUGAGUGAUAAUUUUUUAAUCUGCUUUAUCAAUAACUACAGAUUCAUUCGCGACUGCUAAUGCUAACUGAUGAAUCUGUAGGUAAAAAUAGAUUGAUUUAUAAAAACAGAGUGAAGGAAAUAAAAGAUGAAAUAAUAUGUAAAAAGGAAGUCAAGAUAACGAUUAAAGUAAUUUGAGACGAAUUGUGAGAUAGUGUUAGAAAAAAUGAGGGAAGAGCUUGGGGACCAUUGAGAGAAGUAAAAAGAAAUUAUAGUAAAGCAAUUAAAGAGAAGAAAAUGUUAAACGAGAUAUAACAGGAAAUUGAAGCUAUUAAAAAAUUGAUGAAAGAAAAGAUUCAGAUAUCAAAAAUAUGGCUACGGCAGUACCAAGUUAAAAAAGAAAAGCAGGGGAAUAGUGAUUUUGAGUUGUGAGACUGAAAAAGAAAUGAAAAAGUAUUAAGGUGAUGUUGGAAUCUAUUCUAUUUUACCGACAAAAUGUUAAUUUGUAGUUUUGUGUUUAUUUUUUAUUGCUUUUAUAAAAUUAAGAAUUCUUUUCAGGGAUUGAUGUUAAUAAAGGUAUAGAUGGUCAUUUUUGAUUAAAAAAAUUUUUUUUUUUAAUUUACCGACAAGCUGUCAGUUGAUAUAAAAAUUUAUUUUAUAUUAAAGUUAUACAGUUUAAAAGUACAAAAUAAGCUCAGGAGGGCAAGGAGGGCAUAUGAAAGAAUGACAGGAAACCUUUUGAAAUUAAGUUUAGAGGUUUAGCCUUAAAAAAAUAACAAAAAGUCAGAUUUAUGUAAAACAUAUACAAUAUUGAAGUAAUAACAUAAAAAGGAGCAAUAAAUAAGUUCCCGAAUAUUACAGUCAGCUCCAGCAUCACCUUAAAGGCUAUAUAGUACAAACCGAACUGGGCGAGAAUUUUAAAAUUACUGCGAGUUAUGGCAAAUGAAAUCUUAAUAUAUAAAAACAAGUGUCCUGACUGACUCACUCAUCAGUGCCCAGCUCAAACCUUUAGACCUAGAAAGUUGAAAUUUGGGGAGCGUAUACCUUACAUGGCGUAGGGGCACACUAAGAACGGAUUUUGCUUCAAUCAAUCCCUAAAAAAGUGACAAGGGAAAAAAUAUGUGUUUAUGGAUUUCUUAAUAUCUCCGAAGCCUGAUAAGAUGUAGAUUUUGCUCUUGCUUAUAACAGUUACUCAUACAAAUACCUAAAAAUCAAUUUCUGUAUUUUAUCCCAAUCAUCCCCUAAGGGGUGAAAAGGGAAAAAUGUGUUUUUACAAAUUUCUCAAUAUUUCCGAAGCCUGAUGAAAUAUAUAUCUCAUUAUUGCUUACAAAGGUUACCCAUACCUAAAAAUAAAUUUCUGCAUUUUACCCUAAUCAUCUUUUAUGUCCGGUCUGGUUGUCGCCUCAACCAUCGUGUGCAGGUAAACCGAAUAGGAAAGUCCUCUACCGUUUUGCGAUUUUCGCAAUAAUU
This is an RNA transcript of Nylanderia fulva, 3552 nucleotides long. It is a transcript of the gene named zinc finger CCCH-type containing protein regnase 1, with no coding region annotated. The record is from RefSeq and is a predicted model, not a curated record. Lineage: Eukaryota; Metazoa; Arthropoda; Insecta; Hymenoptera; Formicidae.